CGCUGGCGGCGUGCUCAUACAUGCAAGUCGAACGAGAAGCUUACUUCGGUAAGUGGAAAGUGGCGGACGGGUGAGUAAUGUGUAGAGAAUCUGCCCUGAAGUGGGGGACAACAGAGGGAAACUUCUGCUAAUACCCCAUAUGAGCGUAGUUGCGAUACUAUUCUUGAAAGAUUUAUCGCUUCAGGAUGAGUCUGCAUCUGAUUAGCUAGUUGGGGGUGUAAUGGACCACCAAGGCGACGAUCAGUAGCUGGUUUGAGAGGAUGAUCAGCCACAAUGGGACUGAGACACGGCCCAUACUCCUACGGGAGGCAGCAGUAGGGAAUUUUGCGCAAUGGGCGAAAGCCUGACGCAAGCAACGCCGCGUGAUCGCAGACGGCCUUCGGGUUGUAAAGAUCUGUCAGUAGGGACGAACAAUGACUGUACCUACAGAGGAAGCACCGGCUAACUCCGUGCCAGCCGCGGC
RNAcentral lists this ribosomal RNA (463 nucleotides) under uncultured bacterium. RNAcentral describes it as "bacterial SSU rRNA". It matches the Rfam family "Bacterial small subunit ribosomal RNA", at positions 34 to 518 of the family's 1533-position model. The record is from RNAcentral.